AUGGUUUGCUGGAAUGUGAGAGGGCUCAACAGCCCAGCAAAGAAGGAUGCGCUUAGGGAGCUCGCUGACUCGAUGAAAGUAGCUAUUUGGUGUAUUUUAGAGACUAAGCUCGUGCAUGUAGACACUUACAUUAUCAUGUGGUGCUUAGGGCCGGCUUAUGAUGGUUUUGCGUAUCUUCCUUCGUCUGAUACACGUGGGGGCAUUUUUAUUGCGUGGGACUCCUCGAAGGUGUCCAUAUCCAACACGGUGCUGGAUUCUAACUUCAUCACGGGCUACGUUUCCCCUAGGGAGGGACAACCUUGGUGGCUGUCGGUUGUGUACGGACCGCAAGAGGAUGCGCAAAAGAUUGCCAUGAUGGAGGAGCUGACAGCUAGACGAGGUCUCUGCCCAAGGCCGUGGAUGGCAGUGGGAGAUUUCAACAUGAUUCUGAAUGCUUUGGACAAAAACAACUCUCUCUUGGACAGGAGAAUAAUGGGUCGUUUCAAGAGGUUUGUUGAUGACAAUGCUCUCAAGGAGCUGUUCCUACAUGGCAGGCGGUUCACAUGGAGCAAUGAGAGAGAAAACCCCACCUUGACCAAGAUCGACCGGGCCUGGAGUCGGUGGACUGGGAGCUCGCGUACCCGGAGUGUUUGUUGCAGGCCCUCUCCACCAAUACGUCUGAUCACUGUCCCCUGUUUCUAUCAAUGGAAGACCAGCUACAACCGCGGAAAAGAUUCAGGUUUGAGAUGGUUUGGGUGA
RNAcentral lists this ribosomal RNA (738 nucleotides) under Triticum aestivum (bread wheat). Its description in RNAcentral is "partial small subunit ribosomal RNA". The record is from RNAcentral. Lineage: Eukaryota; Viridiplantae; Streptophyta; Magnoliopsida; Poales; Poaceae.